AUUGAACGCUGGCGGCAGGCCUAACACAUGCAAGUCGAGCGGUAGAGAGAAGCUUGCUUCUCUUGAGAGCGGCGGACGGGUGAGUAAUGCCUAGGAAUCUGCCUGGUAGUGGGGGAUAACGUUCGGAAACGGACGCUAAUACCGCAUACGUCCUACGGGAGAAAGCAGGGAACCUUCGGGCCUUGCGCUAUCAGAUGAGCCUAGGUCGGAUUAGCUAGUUGGUGAGGUAAUGACUCACCAAGGCGACGAUCCGUAACUGGUCUGAGAGGAUGAUCAGUCACACUGGAACUGAGACACGGUCCAGACUCCUACGGGAGGCAGCAGUGGGGAAUAUUGGACAAUGGGCGAAAGCCUGAUCCAGCCAUGCCGCGUGUGUGAAGAAGGUCUUCGGAUUGUAAAGCACUUUAAGUUGGGAGGAAGGGCAGUAAAUUAAUACUUUGCUGUUUGACGUACCGACA
Molecule: ribosomal RNA, 458 nt
Filed under: Pseudomonas sp. oral taxon D11
Lineage: Bacteria; Pseudomonadati; Pseudomonadota; Gammaproteobacteria; Pseudomonadales; Pseudomonadaceae
Description: bacterial SSU rRNA
Rfam family: Bacterial small subunit ribosomal RNA
Source: RNAcentral